Molecule: long non-coding RNA, 317 nt
Filed under: Vigna radiata
Lineage: Eukaryota; Viridiplantae; Streptophyta; Magnoliopsida; Fabales; Fabaceae
Description: long non-coding RNA (VRAD_LNC011689)
Source: RNAcentral
GUUAAUAAAUUUGUUGAUAUAUUGUGAAUUAUGAUUUUCUUUUCAAAAUACUUUUUUGUCUAAUUUUAAAGUCAUCUUUAUCUUUGAUCAGUCACAAAUCACUAUUUUUUUUAUAAAUUUUAACUUUAAAUGGUAAAAACUUUAUUCAAAGUGUUUACUAAUAGAUAAAAAUGUUUUUGAUAAUUGUCUGACAAAAUCUAGUUGGUAAUGUUUUGUAGGAGAUUUUUUUUUCUUUUUCUUCCUCCCUCCUUCUCUUUCGUUGUCGUGUUUAUUGUUGUUGUCAUUGUAUUUAUGGUCACUGUUAAUUUUGAUUUCUC